Capsicum annuum is the source of this 905-nucleotide long non-coding RNA. RefSeq lists it as uncharacterized. The transcript has 2 exons. The record is from RefSeq and is a predicted model, not a curated record. Lineage: Eukaryota; Viridiplantae; Streptophyta; Magnoliopsida; Solanales; Solanaceae.
UUAUUUUUUUCUUCUUACUUUUGUUUAUAGGAGUGUACUUCAUUUUUAUCUAAUAAAUUUAUUUUAUAUUUUUACAACAUAUUGAGCAUGCCUUUUGUUGGAUUAGGGGUCAUGGAUUGCCUACGUAGACCAAUCGAGUCUCGACCCGACCUGAUCCAUUUCGAAUUUUGAUUAUUUGAUAAAAAGGGGAUAAAAUUGGAUAUUUGAAUUUUGGAGAAACAGUAACAAAAAUUGUUCCACUUCCCUUUAUAUUCCAAAAUUGAUUCUUCUUGUUCAGUGUGUGAAAUAGAGGAAUGAAAAUCAGAAAAAAUAGAAAAAGAAAAGAGGUGAACAAUUUCAACAUUAACAAAACAUCAAAGGCAUUUAAGUUUGUGAAUCAAUAUUCUGUUUCCUAGAGAGACGUAGAUUGACUUGGGAACAAUUGUGUCAGUAGCAAAUUCAACCAACAUUAAGAAAUGACUGAACGAGGAUAAACUCUAAUCACUCCAAGUGAGAGUUUUGGAUGUCGAGCAAAGAGACAAAGUGGAAGAGCACGUCGUCGAAGGGCAUGUUUUUGAGGUUGUGAGAUCAUACGAAAUGGUGUCCCCAGGACGAAACAAAAUCUGUUACGAAACGAAAGAGCUAUGCGAAGGGAAAGAGUGAAGAAACUGAAAGAAUUCAAUUUUUUUUAAGAUGACCCCUAACAUUACUGUUGCUAGUUUUAUUCAUUUGUUUGAAUUAAAAUGUGUAGAACUAGAAAACUAAGUAGCAAUCUCGGAUUAAAAAGCAUUAGUUAUUUUAGCAAAUUCUCUCCGAGAUCUUUGGGGCGCGAGAUUAAUUGAUGUUUACCACGAAAUGUGGCUUAGCGAGCCUUUUUAGGUGUAUAUAAGUCGUUUUAAAUAUUUGUGGAAUGACUUUUCUCUUUA